CAAAAGGGGAGGGUGCUUUCUCUCAAGCCUAUCUCAGUUUUGAGCUUUCUCGAGCUGCAGGGAGCCGAAUGGCGCACUAAUUUAAGAGUUAACGUUUAGACAUCUCCUUUAUAUUUUCGUGGAUUUUACUAAUUUCCUGAAAACUUUCUGCGGGACGAGACGACUUGUGCACGGUGUAGGAAAGGGAGGAUCCUCCCUUGCAGCUCGUGACAGCACUGCCGGGAUACAAACUUUGCGCUUCGUGCAGAAAACGUCUAGAUUGACUGGGCCAUUAAUUAACAGGUCCUGAGUCAAUAGGACGGCGUUUCCUUGCUGGUAACAGUUGGGAUAUUUAAUGAUGUUGGACGGUAUAAAAAUUGAAGACCAUCCGCUGCGGUCGGGACAGGCUACGCUUGGAGUUAUGCUGGGGACGGAGUGCCAUCACCAGGCGGUGUGUGAGGGGUGCCAGCGGCCGAUAUCCGACCGCUUUCUGAUGCGCGUCAACGAAUCUUCAUGGCACGAGGAGUGUUUGCAAUGCGCCGUGUGUCAACAACCGCUCACCACCAGCUGCUACUUCCGGGAGAGGAAACUUUACUGCAAACACGACUACCAACAGUAAGGGCAUGGAUUAUUGGAAAGAUUGGUGUCAGGCAUCCGGGUUCAUUGCUUCUGGUUGACUUGUUUUUAUUCAACUGUGAUCAAGCAAAUAAAAAGUGACGAAUCUUUCGUUUUUACGCUCUAACACUCACAAUAUCUCCGUUCGUAAAGUUGGACUGAAUGGUGGCGUUGACGGUAUGAUUUCGGUGAACUUGUCAUCAUCUUAAAAUUCUGUUGGUUUUACAGUUGUGACGCCAAGUGCAUUGUGGUAUUGUUGAAGAACUGUCUUUAUAAUUAUUAGGCAUUUAUGCAAGUUACAGCUAUAAUUAAAUUAGUUAUUGCUUUGUGUAAUUCCAAACUGAGACGCGUCAGUCCUGUGAUUUAGUGAGUGAUAGUUUGGC
This is a long non-coding RNA of Carassius auratus (goldfish), 977 nucleotides long. RefSeq lists it as uncharacterized. The record is from RefSeq and is a predicted model, not a curated record. NCBI's taxonomy places the organism in Eukaryota, Metazoa, Chordata, Actinopteri, Cypriniformes, Cyprinidae. The transcript has 3 exons.